UACGUAGGGGGCAAGCGUUAUCCGGAUUUACUGGGUGUAAAGGGAGCGUAGACGGCGAUGUAAGUCUGGAGUGAAAGCCCGGGGCUCAACCCCGGGACUGCUUUGGAAACUGUGUUGCUAGAGUGCAGGAGAGGUAAGUGGAAUUCCUAGUGUAGCGGUGAAAUGCGUAGAUAUUAGGAGGAACACCAGUGGCGAAGGCGGCUUACUGGACUGUAACUGACGUUGAGGCUCGAAAGCGUGGGGAGCAAACAGG
RNAcentral lists this ribosomal RNA (253 nucleotides) under uncultured bacterium. Its description in RNAcentral is "partial 16S ribosomal RNA". It matches the Rfam family "Bacterial small subunit ribosomal RNA", at positions 524 to 776 of the family's 1533-position model. The record is from RNAcentral.